CUGCCAGUCUCCAAGAUGCUCACCGCGGUGAGCAGACUCCAGCGCAGACCCCAAGGUUAAUUCAAUGUCUCCGUUUGUCUCUGGGUUUCCCCCUCCGCCUCC
This is a long non-coding RNA of Gopherus evgoodei (Goodes thornscrub tortoise), 102 nucleotides long. RefSeq lists it as uncharacterized. The transcript has 3 exons. The record is from RefSeq and is a predicted model, not a curated record. NCBI's taxonomy places the organism in Eukaryota, Metazoa, Chordata, Testudines, Testudinidae.